UGCCGUGCUAAGCGGGGAGGUAGCGGUGCCCUGUACUCGCAAUCCGCUCUAGCGAGGCCGAAUUCCUUCUUGAGGUUAGCUCAUCUUAGGGCCUGCCUUAAGUAAGUGGUGUUGACGUUUGGGUCCUAUGCAAUGGGAAUCUGUGAACCCUGUCAGGUCCGGAAGGAAGCAGCAGUAAGCAGAACCUCUCAUGUGCCAUGGGGUCGCCUGAACCGAGCUAACUGCUUAAGUAACGCCUGGGGUGGCUAAUCGACGGAAGGUGCACGGCA
Molecule: signal recognition particle RNA, 269 nt
Filed under: Priestia megaterium
Lineage: Bacteria; Bacillati; Bacillota; Bacilli; Caryophanales; Bacillaceae
Description: Archaea_SRP
Rfam family: Bacterial large signal recognition particle RNA
About the family: The signal recognition particle (SRP) is a universally conserved ribonucleoprotein involved in the co-translational targeting of proteins to membranes. Archaeal SRP consists of a 7S RNA and homologues of the eukaryotic SRP19 and SRP54 proteins. In most bacteria, the SRP consists of a 4.5S RNA and the Ffh protein (a homologue of the eukaryotic SRP54 protein).
Source: RNAcentral